UGCUGCUGUUUUAGGAGGUGAGUGGUAGCCUCGAGGAAGGCUGCCAUCCCCGAGGCUGCAAGGACAGGGACCUAAAGGAGGAGAAGAUAAUAGGUAAGACAUGCUUUGCCCGUUUCCGUUAUCUAGAGGACCAGAUUCCUUUAAAAACUUUUUUCCUCCUGUAUGAUCCUAUUAUGUAUUCCAGGUAUGAGUGAAACCCGAAGUCAGAGUCUAAUUUGUGUAGUCCUUCAUGUCUGUAACUUGUACUUAGAAAGUUCUAUGCAGGAAGGAAAGGGAAAAGAAUGAACAGUUAACUCUCAAAGGAAGUGAAUUGAUCGCGCAAGCACGCACACACCGCCUGUGAGUUAACCGUCCAGGGUGCAAGUGACAACCUCAGCCUCAGUCCGUCUCGCGGGGCCAGUGCAGCAGCAUGGGGUUGUUGCUGACUUUGGGGGGAUCAUGUUGCCCCACUCCGGCCCAGGCUGACUGCCACUGUCUCGUGACGGUCCACGCAGCCUGCGGUGCUCACCCGGCAGAACCUCUGCUACCUCUGCAGGAACGGGAGCCAAGUACUUGCGGGGCGGCCUCUACUGCAUAAACACGGCUGCUCUCGGGAGUGUGGGAGGUCCUGAGUUCACAUUGCAGCUGGAACCCUGUGCCAUUUCUCCUGACAUCUGGACAGACGUGAGCAUGGGGAGGCCCAGCAGGAAGUGCUCUUUAUUGACGUCAGGCAGGGAAGGAGAAAUCACAGAAGAAGCCGCCGUGUCCCAGUUAGCAUGUCACAUAAUAUGCAGCAGUGGCUUCAGUGGCUUUAAAACAUCAGAAAACUGACUUGGAUUGAGUGCUCCUCCACAUUUGGCAGGCUGAGAGUACAAGGGACAUAAAAACACCACAUUCGACACCAGCUAGGAGGAGAGUGCAUCAGACUUCAGGGGGCAUUUUGACGUCCAGGGCUAUGAAAGGAUGCUCUCACAAGCCCAGAUAGCUGCCUGCACAGGUUUCCAAAACCCGUACCAGUGCUGUCUGAUGGUGACAGCAGCAGUGUGGCUCUGGGCGUGGAAUGGGGCACUGCUGUCUUCCAAACCAUCGUAACCAGAUCAUGAGCAUGCUGGUGGGCCAUGGUGGGACUGGACAAGCCUUUACCUUCCUGGACACCUCUUCCCUGGUAAAAUGACAUGAUCAAUGUCAGUGGAUUUAGAGAGCAUGUCUGUCAUAAAGAUUUUCCUGUAGGCUGGCUCAUUAAAUUGAAGGGGGUCCCUGUGGUCACUUUCAACAUCAAAC
Molecule: long non-coding RNA, 1260 nt
Filed under: Canis lupus dingo (dingo)
Lineage: Eukaryota; Metazoa; Chordata; Mammalia; Carnivora; Canidae
Description: lncRNA (ENSCAFG00020022542.1)
Source: RNAcentral